Molecule: ribosomal RNA, 752 nt
Filed under: bacterium EJ10-43
Lineage: Bacteria
Description: bacterial SSU rRNA
Rfam family: Bacterial small subunit ribosomal RNA
Source: RNAcentral
AAGUCGAACGAUGAACCUCACUUGUGGGGGGAUUAGUGGCGAACGGGUGAGUAACACGUGAGUAACCUGCCCUUAACUCUGGGAUAAGCCUGGGAAACUGGGUCUAAUACCGGAUAUGACUCCUCAUCGCAUGGUGGGGGGUGGAAAGCUUUAUUGUGGUUUUGGAUGGACUCGCGGCCUAUCAGCUUGUUGGUGAGGUAAUGGCUCACCAAGGCGACGACGGGUAGCCGGCCUGAGAGGGUGACCGGCCACACUGGGACUGAGACACGGCCCAGACUCCUACGGGAGGCAGCAGUGGGGAAUAUUGCACAAUGGGCGAAAGCCUGAUGCAGCGACGCCGCGUGAGGGAUGACGGCCUUCGGGUUGUAAACCUCUUUCAGUAGGGAAGAAGCGAAAGUGACGGUACCUGCAGAAGAAGCGCCGGCUAACUACGUGCCAGCAGCCGCGGUAAUACGUAGGGCGCAAGCGUUAUCCGGAAUUAUUGGGCGUAAAGAGCUCGUAGGCGGUUUGUCGCGUCUGCCGUGAAAGUCCGGGGCUCAACUCCGGAUCUGCGGUGGGUACGGGCAGACUAGAGUGAUGUAGGGGAGACUGGAAUUCCUGGUGUAGCGGUGAAAUGCGCAGAUAUCAGGAGGAACNUCNAUGGCGAAGGCAGGUCUCUGGGCAUUAACUGACGCUGAGGAGCGAAAGCAUGGGGAGCGAACAGGAUUAGAUACCNCUGGUAGUCCAUGCCGUAAACGUUGGGCACUAGGUGU